This is a long non-coding RNA of Anolis carolinensis (green anole), 181 nucleotides long. RefSeq lists it as uncharacterized. The transcript has 2 exons. NCBI's taxonomy places the organism in Eukaryota, Metazoa, Chordata, Lepidosauria, Squamata, Anolidae. The record is from RefSeq and is a predicted model, not a curated record.
UCCAUGGUCUUCUGUCCUGUUUUUUCUUUCAAGAACAACCUUAAAACACUGUGACAUGAUUGUGAAAGCUGGACAGUGAAGAAACCUGAUAGAAAAUCAACCCAUUUGAGAUCUGGCACUGGAGAAAAAUUAUAGAUGCUGUGAACUGCUAAAAAAUACAAAUAAAUGGGUCAUAGAACAA